GAUAGAUGGAUCAGAGAGAAUGAAAGGCCAAAUAAAAUGUAUAAAGGAAGACACUUUCUUUUAUUUCAUCAUCUAAGACUAAUGUAAUUAACAAAGCUAAACAGACACACACAUACGUAUAUGAGAUAUGAGAUAACCAACGGUUGGCAUAACAACUCUUCAUUAUUCUCUUAACUACAUCUUCCGGGGGAAAGCCCUUCUCUCUGAGAUUGUUUCCUAUCUCUGUUUCAUUUGGGUUCUCCCUUGUACUCUUCCUUCAUUUGGGAUCUUUCAUCCCUCUGUCUUGGUUAGUUUUACUUCAACUAUUUUUGCUUCUACAACCCAGUCUCAUCAGUAUUGAUUGUCCCCUGUUACAUCCAUCCACCCAUAACUAUAUAUAUAGAGAGAGAGAGUUUCUGGAUUAGCUGCAAUUCUAAAUUCUAAACCAAAACCAGAUUCAAAACCCAAUCUAAAAUAACCAAUCACAAAUUAGAGGAAACAAAGAAUGGUUCCCAACUUCCCAUCACUUCAAGGAGAGGAACAGCACGGGAUUUACUCACCUGUGCC
Molecule: unclassified non-coding RNA, 546 nt
Filed under: Hevea brasiliensis (rubber tree)
Lineage: Eukaryota; Viridiplantae; Streptophyta; Magnoliopsida; Malpighiales; Euphorbiaceae
Source: RNAcentral